UUUAGGUAAAUUACAUGGACAUCCUUUAACGUUUUAAAAAUGAUAUCUCUGCCCAUAUAGUUACUUUAAAUUGCAUUAACGUAAUUUUAUUUUGGGGGAUUUUAUUAUAGGUCACAAAAUAUUAUGAAUAUUAGAAUUGAGUCAGUCAAUAUUCGCGCUUUUUUAUUAGGGUCUAAAGAGAAAUAUAAAGAAGGGGGAAUUCACCUUAGUUGCAAGGGCAAAUGUACACUGAGAUCAAGGUGAUCCCAAAACCACCCAGAGGCCGGGAAACACACAUGUAAAGUUUUUGUAGGACACUCCGAAUAUUUGGUAUGGAUUCCUUUUGUGUUCACUAAGUGAUUUAUAUAAUGUUCAUUAAGCAUAUUUCGACAUCACUCCAUAAAAAGCUCUUGAUAACACUUAUCAUAUUGCUUCGGUAAUGUCAAUAUUUGUUGACAUAUGCAUAACAUGGUUCGACUUACAACAACAAGACCACCAAGCAUUCGAUGAAAUACCUAAAUUAAUAAACUGAAUUUUUUGCGAGCUUUGUGCUCUAUUUCUAUCUAAAAAAUUUGAACUUUAACAUUAGGCCUCCCAAAGGUGGAAUCCUAGAUUUGUCACUCCUUAGUUGGAGAGGAAAUUGUUUUUAUUAACCUUAGUUGUAUAGGAUAAUUGUUUUUAUUAACCUUAGUUGUAGAGGAUAAUUGUUUUUAUUAGCCUAUACUAGAAAAUAAAAGAGAGUUUUAACGAAACACUCUCGGUACAGUCCACUUUUAAUGAAAAACCUCAUUUUUACCUUUCUCUGAUACUAUUCACUACACCUUUAUUUAUCAUUUUUCAUUAAAACUAUAGUUUUUUAAAACUUUUUUGUUAAUUUUCCUAAAAUAAAAUGAUCAUUCACUUAUACUGAAAUAUAAAAAUAUUUAUUGACUUAAAUCAAAUUUCUCAUUUUUUUGGUAUGAACUGGUAUGUUGCAUGGACAUGGGACGACAAGGAUACGACAACUAAAAUAAUAUAUAAACUAUAUAUAUAUUCUUUCAUAUCAUCAAAUGGAAAUUGAAAUAAGAUGUUAUGUUUGGAGGAGUGAUUUCCAAGUCAUAAAGAAUUUAGAUAAGUGACGAAGAAAUACAUUACAAAGUGGCAUUAAAAUGCACCACAUACUUAUUGCAAAAACAUGCAUUAGGGUUUUGUAAAUGACUUCGUCCAAAACUUAUUAUUUGCAAAUAUAUCUCGCAUGUCUUUGCAAUGCUUAUGACGUGCCUUUUAGUCUUCUAUAUCUAACAUAGUUACAUUUUGUAGUUUAUUUCUUACAAUUUGAAGACAUCAAUCCCUUUGGACUUGGAAGUCCCCCUCCCAAACAAAGCCUAAAGCAUGCCCAUUCCAUUAUAAGUUCAUGCUUUCAUCGUGAAACAAAAUAGAAAACCUUGAAUUUAGAAAUUACAAUCCAAAUUCUUAAUUUUCAAAUAUACCCCCAAAAGUUUCGAGGGCCAAAAAAAGAAGUCAACAGAACAAAAAUAGUCAAUAGAACCAAAAAAAAAAAGUUGACGAUGGUUACGAUACCCUAUUAUGGAUUUUUUUUUUUUUUUUGAAAAGGGGGACAAUUGGUGGCAAAUCACUGUUAUUCAUCUUUUUCAGGGGCUAGGAAGACUCACAGAUGCAUUUUAACCUUCUCCUGAUCACAAGUCUAGCUUCCA
Molecule: long non-coding RNA, 1673 nt
Filed under: Malus domestica (apple)
Lineage: Eukaryota; Viridiplantae; Streptophyta; Magnoliopsida; Rosales; Rosaceae
Description: long non-coding RNA (MDOM_LNC021149)
Source: RNAcentral